GCAUUCUGUAGACACCGAAGGAAGCCACAGCUCUCCAGUCUGUUGAACGGCGUGCCUCACACUCAUCUGGAAUCCUCACAGGGAGACGCAGCACAGCCAUGAGUGGGAAAAAAACACCUGGAGCAACAACUGGAAACAUCAAACCAUCUGCUGGCCAAGAUGAAAAGAAGAUCAACGUCCCUCAGGACUUCGACAUUGACAUGGAAGACCCGGACACACAGAGGGCCGCGGUGGCCAUCCAGUCUCAGUUCAGGAAAUUCCAGAAAAAGAAGCAGGAUGUAAAGUCAUAGAGCAAAUGUUUUUGCACAGUCCUGAUAUGGUCUUGGUUUUGCAUGUCAAUCAAACUGCACUGUUAAGAACUGUGAUGACAGAAGGCAGGAGGUGGAUUUGGGAGGAUGGGCUGAAAUAUACUAUUAGGAAAAUCUGUGUAACUCAUUCAUUUUAACACUAAAACAUGUUCAAAACUCCUUUUUUAAUAUGUGUAUUGUUUAAGUAAAUGUUUUAUUUAUGUGUAGUUAUUUGUUUUGUUUUAUUUUACAUUAGUAACACUUUAAGGUGUUACGUCUGUAGAACUUCUGAAUCAAUGUUUUUUGUUGAGCCACAUUUAUUCUAAUAGAACCAUGUAAGCCACAAUUUUUUAUUGUCAAAAAAUGGGAAUAAUGUUUUAAAACAGAAGAACACUGGCAGGUCAGAUUAUUUAUGAUUUAAUAAGGAACUCAAAUAAAAAGUUAGGGACCCACUGAAUGUCUUUCUAGCUAUAAUUGUGGAACACUUUAGCUCUUGCUUUCACACUGCUAUCUUUAUCUGAAGUGAAUGUUCUGCUGUCCCUGACAUGAGCCCCUCACAGCUGUGUGAAAUAUUGUGUUUGUACUGUCAUUUCUGUUGUGUCUUGUUUUUGCUACAACAUAAUUGAGUCAGUGUUACUCUAGAGUUUAUUCAUAUAUGCUUACUGUUCAAGCAGACAGACUUAUGUGUGCAAUCUUGCACGCAUGCAUGCAUUUAAAAAAAAUAACUAAUAAACAAAAUAAAGUCAACACUGAUGAGCCACA
Fundulus heteroclitus (mummichog) is the source of this 1049-nucleotide long non-coding RNA. RefSeq lists it as uncharacterized. The transcript is spliced from 3 exons. NCBI's taxonomy places the organism in Eukaryota, Metazoa, Chordata, Actinopteri, Cyprinodontiformes, Fundulidae. The record is from RefSeq and is a predicted model, not a curated record.